UUGAUUUCUGAGGCCUGCUAUAUUUACUGAUGGUUGGUUUAGUUGGUUUUGAUUGUGAUUUGUGUUAAAAAAAUAAUAGUUCUGCAUAAAAAACAAAGUUUCUCCGCACAUAUCGGCAGCUCAGAUUUUCAAACCAAGCGAAUAGUUUAAUGGCUGAUUAUUGUUACCGAUGCGGCUUCUCCCGAUAUUCAACACCCAUUAUGAGCUUCUGUACCGAGAAAAUAAAGUGAAGUUUUUCGAUUUUUGUGUGUGCAAAAUAUGUGUAUUUCUAAUGCAAACAUUCGGCAAUAUUUAAAAGUGGC
Molecule: long non-coding RNA, 302 nt
Organism: Armigeres subalbatus
Lineage: Eukaryota; Metazoa; Arthropoda; Insecta; Diptera; Culicidae
Exons: 3
Source: RefSeq, a predicted model, not a curated record